Molecule: long non-coding RNA, 307 nt
Organism: Scatophagus argus
Lineage: Eukaryota; Metazoa; Chordata; Actinopteri; Scatophagidae
Exons: 3
Source: RefSeq, a predicted model, not a curated record
ACGAGUCGCCAUGUUGGAUCUUUCAGUGGUGCCUAAAUCUAAUAUAACUUAGCCGCACUUCAAUGGAGUAAGUCAUAUUUUUGAAGCUCGACAUAAGGCUGUCAUGACGUGAAUCCUCCUGAACUGCUGCUGCUUGAAUUUGCGCUCCCCUCUUAGGCUGCAGUACUCAGUGCCACCAGUCGAGGGCGGUCCUACUUCACCACAGUCAGACUUCAGACGUACAGAAGCUCCAAAACGUCUUCUGAAAUUUGCACAGCAUGAAGGGAGGUAACCGACCAGAGAGGAGAAAACCAAGAUGGUUUCCCUU